RNAcentral lists this long non-coding RNA (2017 nucleotides) under Sus scrofa (pig). RNAcentral's name for it is "lncRNA (ENSSSCG00050066106.1)". The record is from RNAcentral. Lineage: Eukaryota; Metazoa; Chordata; Mammalia; Artiodactyla; Suidae.
ACGACGACGUGAAAGAGGAAAAUGUCUAGGCGCGCGCUGUUGCUAUGGUAACUCGCACCCGCCUCUUUGCCUUGGAAGGGCGUUUGUGGCCUGUUUCUCCGACCCCUAUCCUUUCCUGCCUUUGGACCUGUUCUCAGGCUGUUGGACUUGGGUCUUGGACUGGAACUAUACCCCUAGCUUUCCUGGACCUCCAGCUUGCAGAGGGACUUAGCUGCAAAUCAGGUAAUAGGUGAUGUCCAUGCAUCAGAAGUGAGAAGGUGGGAAGAUAGAGUUGUCAAGUUAAGAAAUAUGGGAAAAGCUUACAAGUGCCUUGAUAGGGAAUGUGGCAUUGAAAAGAACACAUCAUACCUUAUUUCUAGCUUGGACAGUUCUGCCAAACAUCUAGGUUUAAAAGCAGUUCAAAGCGUGGUACAAAGAAAAAAAUCCACUUAAAAUAUCUCAGCUUGACUCUCAUCACUUUGUACAAGGUUCGAAUGUGAUCUGGACACCAACACACCAAGCUGAGCUUUGUGUGAGGAACUAAAUGUUAGACUGAAAUGGGAAACUGAAGCAGGCCCCUUGGAAAUGAAAGAGCUCUACAGUGAUUUAUGAAGAGAAUCAAAGAGGAUUUCUGAGAGGAUGCAGGCAAACCCAAAGGCUACAGCACCACCACACUCCCUCCCCAUAUCUGCAGAGAACAACAACAACAGCAUUUUACAGAUGAAGUUGAAGUCCUCUUUGACCACCAAACUCAGUCCUUUUACCCUUGAAUCUUCCGGAUGCAACGAGGAUGGUGAGUUUGGUGUGUGUUUUAAGCAAGAAUUUUAUAUUAAAAAUAUGUAUAUAGUAUGAUAUCACCCUAUAAAUUAUUUCCACAGCUUUCUUUUUUCCUCAACAUUUUUUUUUUUGAGAUUUAACCAUAGUAAAUAGAAAACUUUCCAAGGAAAGCCUUAAGAACUAUGUGAGUUUGUGAGAAUUUAACAAGAGAGAAAGAAAGAAAAAAAAAGCGAUAACCCAGCCAUAGGCUACAGUACAUAUAUUACCCCAUGAGCUGAAUGGGAUUUAAUGGGAGCACAUAGGAGGUCUUAGCAUGAAUGCAAUGAUUUAGUAGCUCGGCACACACAUCAACCAACUGUCAAGCUCCUUUGAUUCUCACCCCCCUUUCUAAUGAAAUGAGGGAGCCAUACCUCAUCAGAAUCUUUAAAGAAAAUAAGGAAUCUCUUUACAAUUCAGAGAUUUUCUUUAUUUUCAAAAUAUACUCCUUUAGGUUCCUGUCGGAUCAUAAAGUCAUCCUUAAAAUUUCUCCAGGGUUAAAAAUGUUGCGCGGCUCUAACGUGAUCGUAUAGACAGUUUGAAGACAUGAAACUAAGUUAUUGUGAAGCUUUCAUAGUGAAGUUUCCAAAUAGCUGAGAACAUAGGCGAGUUUUCACUUUACUUCCGACAGAUAGAAACUAACAUAUCAUGGAAGAAAAUAUUAUAUGAAUUGACUAUUCAUGAUUUGACCACAACCCAACCCUCUUAGUAAUCUAAGCAAGAGCUAUUUAGUUGUAAAAGAUCAGAACAUUAUCUGGGACUCGUCAUUCUUGGUCUAACCCUUUCGCUGCUCUGAAACACAGUCUUUAAAGAUAGGGAUGAGAAGGGGGGAUGGGAAAGAUAAGCAGAGUAAUUCAGAUAUCAAUAGAUAAUAUGAUUAUCCUUCUCUAGCAUGUGUGAGUUUUAUUAGCAUAAAUAAGUGCUGUGUAAUGAAAAUAUUUUUACCAGAAAACCAUUUUAAGAUUUAAUUUGUGCUAGUUAUUCUCAUUUAUUUGAAAUUCACCAUUCGAAGGCCAAGAAUAGGAUUUACUUGUGUUAACACUGGAGUUUUACGUACAGGUACCUCUUCAAUUUCAAAAUUGAAAUAGUUGCAAUAUGUCUGAUUUUAACAGAAUUUCUGGUUAGUUUCAGGAGCCAUGCAGAUCUGUAGUCAUAGAUCUCACGCUAGUUUUCUCAGAAUCAAAUAAGCAAUGAUGCCACAAUUACAAUUAAAUAAAAAAGGAAA